AUGAUUGGCCUGAAAAUCGUAGACGAACUGCUCAACAAAUCCUUCUACAAGCUGGGACUUGUGGUGGGCAAACAUCCCGGUUACUUCCUCAUAAUCCCCGUGAUGAUCACCAUUCUAGGAAUGACGGGAUAUCAAAGGAUGCACAACAACAUUGAUCCAGAGUACUUGUUCAGUCCCAUUAAUGGAGAAGGAAAAAUUGAAAGAGCCAUAGUGGAAAAUUAUUUUAAAGUCAAUUAUACGAGUAGGUUUGACGUGGCAAGGAUAACAAGAGCAGGUAGAUUUGGCAGAGUUAUUAUCACGUCCAAAGAUGGAAACAAGAAUAUGUUGAGAGUCGAAGUCUGGAAAGAAAUUAGAAUGUUAGACGAGCUAAUACAAAACAUGACCGUCAUUUACGAAAACGAAUAUUUUACUUAUAACGACAUUUGUGCGAAGUGGAUGACGGAAUGCUUCCAAAACGAUAUUUUAAAUUUGGACUACAUUAUGGAGGACGUAGAAAACCAUAACAUCAAUCUGACGUUUCCGUUGAUGAUCAACCCAGUAACCUGGGAUACUCACAUCCUUCCAAUUUUCUUCGGUGGAACAGAAGUAAGCGAGGAUGGUAUCAUUAUCAGCGUGCCCUCAGUUCAGUUGGUGUAUUUCGGAAAUGCCGAUAGUAGGAAAAUUGAUACAUUAGGUGCAGCUUGGGAAGACGCUUUUCUCAACCUAAUCGAACAAAUCCAGGAUAAAGAGAACAGAUUCGAGCAUAUCAGGAUAGCCAGAUUCGCUUCGAGAACACUGGAUCACGAGCUGGAGAAAAACACUCACUCGGUGAUUCCCUACUUCACAUCGACAUUCGUCAUUAUGGCUGUAUUCUCCAUAAUUACGUGUAUGAUGUCUGAUUGGGUCAGAUCGAAACCUUGGUUGGGAUUGUUGGGAAAUUUGAGCGCUGCUAUGGCCACUCUAGGAGCGUUUGGAUUUUGUAUGUAUGCUGGUGUGGACUUUAUUGGUAUCAAUUUGGCAGCGCCCUUUUUAAUGAUUGGAAUAGGAAUUGACGAUACUUUCGUUAUGUUGGCGGCUUGGAGAAGAACGUCCAUCAAAACAUCAGUUCCAGAACGAAUGGCUCAAAUGUUAAGCGAAGCUGCUGUUUCAAUCACAAUUACGUCAGUCACGGAUUUCUUCAGUUUUUGGAUCGGUAUUUUCAGUCCAUUUCCAUCUGUUACCAUCUUCUGCAUAUAUUCAGGUGCAGCAACUGUAUUUCUUUUCAUCUGGCAUUUAACGUUCUUCGCGGCUUGCGUAGCUAUAUCUGGAUAUUGCGAACAAAAGAACUUACACUCGAUAUUUUGCUUCAAGGUCCAGCCCUUAUCAAAAUCACAAAACAGAUGUUUUUUGUACAGAAUAUUUUGCAGUGGCGGUGUUGAUCCAGAUGACAUGGACAAUCCCAAAGAUAAUCAAGAACAUGGAAUGAUGGUAUUUUUCAGAGACUACUUUUCAGUAUUCUUAAACAAUGGUUGUGUUAAAGUUAUGGUUAUCCUGAUUUUUGCCGUUUAUCUUGCUGGCGCCGGAUAUGGUAUUACGCAAAUAGAAGAAGGUCUGGAACGGAGAAAAGUUGCGAAGAACGAUUCAUAUGCAAUAGAAUUCUUUGACAGAGAAGACGAUUACUACAGAGAGUUUCCCUAUAGAGUUCAAGUUAUAGUAUCCGGUGAGUACGAUUACUCGGACCCAAAAAUUCAAAAAGAGGUGGAAAAAUUAACGCAAACGUUCGAAAACACUUCCUAUAUUUCCGCUCUCCUUACCGAUUCCUGGUUAAGAAGCUUUUUACAAUACAUCGACAGGAACAAAGAUUAUUUGAAUAUUUCGAUAAAGACUCAAAAGGAAUUCAGUACGGAAUUAAAAGAGCUGUGGCUUGCGCCCUCAAGUCCAUAUUCCCUGGACGUUAAAUUUGACGAAAAGGAAGAAAAUAUAAUCGCAAUGAGAUUCUUAAUACAGGCAGUGAACAUAUCCGGAACAGAACACGAGAAAGAAAUGGUCAGGGCCUUAAGAAAAAUCUGUAAAGAUUCACCAUUGAAUGCUACAGUAUUCCAUCCAUAUUUCGUGUUCUUCGAUCAGUUUGAAUUAGUCCGACCACUAUCCAUUCAAAACAUCAUCAUAGGCGGCGCUGUUAUGAUGCUGGUCUCGUUCAUCUUUAUACCAAACAUCUUCUGCGCAUUCUGGGUGGCCUUCAGCAUCAUCUCCAUUGAAGCAGGAGUGGUCGGUUAUAUGGCCCUAUGGGGCGUAAAUCUCGAUUCGAUCUCCAUGAUCAACUUGAUCAUGUGCAUCGGAUUCAGCGUUGAUUUCACUGCCCACAUUUGUUAUGCCUACAUGUCGUCGCCAGCCAAGAAAGCCAAAGACAAAAUGAGCGAAGCUUUAUACGCUUUAGGAUUGCCAAUAUUUCAAGGAUCGGUCAGUACUAUACUUGGCAUGAUAGCCCUCAUCUUAGCCCAAAACUACAUAUUCUCCGUCUUCUUCAAGAUGAUCUUCUUAGUAGUAUUCUUAGGAGCGAUGCACGGUCUCUUCCUCUUGCCAGUUCUCUUGUCGCUCUUCGGCCCAGGGUCUUGUACAGGUCACGACGACGACGACGAAGACGUGAAGCUAUCAAGCAUAGAAAAGUCCUUGCCUCAUCCCUACUGUAUACCACAUCCACAAUUCACGCUCAACGGCAGCAACUUAAGCAGUAAUUUGCGCAACACCAGCUUAACACCCAUAGAAAGAUACAACAACAAACCAUUCAAAAGUUUCGGUGAUUUGGAUAAAGAUCUGGGUUUGGGAACGUCAGAAGAAAACUCAAGUGAAUCUUCGACGCAUUCGAAUAAAAAACCAGAUAUGCCACAAGAAAUAGAAAGGAAAUAUAGAGACGCCUUGCGCAGAAAAUCCGAAGCACACUUGUACCAAUACAAAAGUCCUCAUAUAGAUAUCUACGGAACGGAGAUGUACAGAUCACAAGAGGAUUUAGAGAGACCAAGUGGAGGUUACAGAUCAGAAGAACCAAAGAUCAGGUACGAAAGAAGAAGGUAUUCACCGCCAGAACAAAGGAAUCAUCCGUCUAAUGGGGGUCUAAUGAGAUCUCAUUCGCAUCACGGAGCUGUGUUUCCUAGAUAUCUCAAAGAAUCGCGGUUUCCAUGAUGGUGCGUGAAAAAUAGUUAGAACUAAAACGGUUUAGUGCUGAAUGUGUGAACUUUUGUGAAUUUGUUUUAGAAUGAGUUGACUUUUAUAAAUAAUUUGACUAAAUAACAGUACAUAUAAAGGUGAGAGUAAGCUAAGCGAAUAUUGAGGAGGAAAGGUUCAUCAUAUCUGCUCUAGUUAUGAACAGAAUUUGGAAGUGCUAAUAGAGCUACAAAUUAAAGAAUGAUCAAAGAAGGGACAAAAAAAUUUCGACUUUGUAUGGAUAGCAUAAUUUUGUGUGUACAUAGCAUAACUGUUAGUAUUGUCUAGGUUUUGAGUUCAUUGUAGAUUACUCAUGAUGCAAUAUUGUAACGAAAAGAUAUAAGUAGUAAAAAAUCACAUUCAUAAUGUUGAUAUGCUUUUAGUAAGAUUGUGUAAUCUACAGAUAAACUACUGAAAUGUCUACUUAGUUUGUUCCCAUCUUUUGUAUAACAUCACUAAGAAAGAUGAAAUAUUAGGUGAUAUUUAGGUUAAGAUUUAAUUUUUUAAUUUGUAUAGACUAUAGAACAAUUAGUUUAGACAAGAUUUAGUUGAAAAAGGAUUUAGCGGGCAUACUGUAAAAUAUUUUGCCUUGAAAACUUGUUUUAAAGAUAUACUAGUCAUGCUUUCACAACCACUAAUCCAAGUAGAAAAUCUCAUCUGAUUAUAUAUUUGCCGUCGUUACUGUAAUGUUUAAGUUAAAUCACAGUACCAACAGAGUAUAACAAAUCAACGAGGAGCGUCACUUCGGUUCCGAAAUUUACAAGCGCAUGCGCGAAAUAGACAGGAUCAACGUUAACAUAGGAUACCAAUCAGCCGGCUGAAUUUAGUCAGGUAGCAAAGACAAUAAAAUAUGAUAUUGACAUUUGAGUGCGAAACGUGUUAAUUGUUGUUUGCUGUGUUUUUAAUAAUUAUUAUUAAUAAUGCCAGGAACGUGUUGUGCGUAUCGCCCUUGUUUAACAAGACCAGGAGAUAAGAU
This 4135-nucleotide unclassified non-coding RNA is filed under the name Sitophilus oryzae (rice weevil). RNAcentral describes it as "patched domain-containing protein 3, transcript variant X1". The record is from RNAcentral. Lineage: Eukaryota; Metazoa; Arthropoda; Insecta; Coleoptera; Curculionidae.